AUGAAAAACAGCUUCUCAAACCUUUGCCAGAUGGGGAUUUUUUUUCAUAUAAGCACAUUUAAUGGAAUUGGUUGUGUUUUUAUGCUGCCUACAGCUGCAUGCCUGAGACCAGGUUAAAUGAAAGGCCUUGAGAUUGUAUUUAAUGUACAGGAAAUAUGAGGAAGGUCACAUUUCUUUGCUUUUAUUGCUGGCUGAGAGCACAAAGCCUGCUGUCACGGAGCGACACUGGAUCAGAGAGGUUUUCUGCUUUGUUCGGUGAAAUUAGCUUCUAAUAUUUUUCCUGGAAUUGCAGAUUGGAAUUUUCAUCGGGUCCGAAGCACGUCCUUCGCGAUGGCGGUUUCCGCACAGCUGCUGACGUGUUGUGCCCUGGGUCAGGAGGGGAUUGUCUUGUAUGUUUGCUGCACUUGGAUGCGAAUGUGACACUGCCACCUAGUGAAGUGCUCUCUGCCACGAAGAGAGGACAGCACGGGACAGAGACAGGGUCGCGGCGAGCCGGAGCCUAACCCGGCAACGCGGGGAGCAAGGCCGAAGGGGGAGGGGACACACCCAGGACGGGAUGCCAGUCUGCCGCAAGGCACUCCGAGCGGGGCUCGAACCCCAGACCCGCUACGCAGCGGGCACCGGCUGAACGUGCCACGCCAUGCCACGCCCCACCCGCCAUCGCAAAUAUUCCUCUGAAAAACUAGCUGGCCAUUUUACUAUAAUCAGGCCUUACAAUCACUUUUUGUUUUGCUCUACUUACUUUUAAGAUGAUCUCCAAAUCUUAUUUAACAGUUUUUUUCCCUUUUCUACUUCAAAUUUUGAGUGUUUGCUAGGUAUUUGUGCCUUGCAUUUCACUCUGAUCGUGACCUAAUCUGGAACAUUGUUGCUAUCCUCACCUGAGACAAGACCUGUUGUUUUGUGGAAAAAAAUCAUAUUAUCUAAGUCAUUCUUUUAAUUUGGUAAAUAAUACAACACAUUAUAUAGAUCGGUUAACAUCAAUAUGCACUCUUACCAACAAUAUAGUGAAUGCAAAUUUACUUCACUUUACUAUGAAGGUCAUUUUACCACAUGACUGUGGCCAAUUCAAACUGGAAUCACACUAUGUUUGAGCAACCCCCCACGUAUUGUAUUGUUUUAUUGUUUUACUAUAUAUAGAGAUUGCAUAAAGUGUAUACUUAUGUUGUAUAGCGUAACUUAUGUUAUACUCUUAACACUGCAUUUUCUGGAGCUGCACUAAAGAUUUUCACUCUUCUCUACAUGUUAUGUUGACGGUGAU
This 1258-nucleotide long non-coding RNA is filed under the name Scleropages formosus (Asian bonytongue). RNAcentral describes it as "lncRNA (ENSSFOG00015028203.1)". Lineage: Eukaryota; Metazoa; Chordata; Actinopteri; Osteoglossiformes; Osteoglossidae. The record is from RNAcentral.